AGUGGCGGACGGGUGAGUAACGCGUGAGAAUCUGCCUUGGGGUCGGGGACAACCACUGGAAAUGGUGGCUAAUACCGGAUAAGCCGAUUGGUGAAAGAUUUAUUGCCCGAAGAGGAGCUCGCGUCUGAUUAGCUAGUUGGUGAGGUAAGAGCUCACCAAGGCAGCGAUCAGUAGCUGGUCUGAGAGGACGAUCAGCCACACUGGGACUGAGACACGGCCCAGACUCCUACGGGAGGCAGCAGUGGGGAAUUUUCCGCAAUGGGCGAAAGCCUGACGGAGCAAGACCGCUGAGGGAGGAAGGCUCUUGGGUUGUAAACCUCUUUUCUCAGGGAAGAAGCUCUGACGGUACCUGAGGAAUCAGCCUCGGCUAACUCCGUGCCAGCAGCCGCGGUAAUACGGAGGAGGCAAGCGUUAUCCGGAAUUAUUGGGCGUAAAGCGUCCGCAGGUGGCGAUUCAAGUCUGCUGUCAAAGCACGGGGCUUAACUCCGUAAAGGCAGUGGAAACUGAAUAGCUAGAGUGCCGUAGGGGUAGAGGGAAUUCCCGGUGUAGCGGUGAAAUGCGUAGAGAUCGGGAAGAACAUCGGUGGCGAAAGCGCUCUACUGGACGGCAACUGACACUCAGGGACGAAAGCUAGGGGAGCGAAUGGGAUUAGAUACCCC
This 659-nucleotide ribosomal RNA is filed under the name uncultured bacterium. Its description in RNAcentral is "bacterial SSU rRNA". It matches the Rfam family "Bacterial small subunit ribosomal RNA", at positions 94 to 788 of the family's 1533-position model. The record is from RNAcentral.